This 508-nucleotide ribosomal RNA is filed under the name uncultured bacterium. Its description in RNAcentral is "partial 16S ribosomal RNA". It matches the Rfam family "Bacterial small subunit ribosomal RNA", at positions 30 to 523 of the family's 1533-position model. The record is from RNAcentral.
AUUGAACGCUGGCGGCAGGCCUAACACAUGCAAGUCGAGCGGCAGCGGGAAAGUAGCUUGCUACUUUUGCCGGCGAGCGGCGGACGGGUGAGUAAUGCCUGGGAAAUUGCCCAGUCGAGGGGGAUAACAGUUGGAAACGACUGCUAAUACCGCAUACGCCCUACGGGGGAAAGCAGGGGACCUUCGGGCCUUGCGCGAUUGGAUAUGCCCAGGUGGGAUUAGCUAGUUGGUGAGGUAAUGGCUCACCAAGGCGACGAUCCCUAGCUGGUCUGAGAGGAUGAUCAGCCACACUGGAACUGAGACACGGUCCAGACUCCUACGGGAGGCAGCAGUGGGGAAUAUUGCACAAUGGGGGAAACCCUGAUGCAGGCAUGCCGCGUGUGUGAAGAAGGCCUUCGGGUUGUAAAGCACUUUCAGCGAGGAGGAAAGGUUGAUGCCUAAUACGUAUCAACUGUGACGUUACUCGCAGAAGAAGCACCGGCUAACUCCGUGCCAGCAGCCGCAGUAA